This 864-nucleotide ribosomal RNA is filed under the name Triticum aestivum (bread wheat). Its description in RNAcentral is "partial small subunit ribosomal RNA". The record is from RNAcentral. Lineage: Eukaryota; Viridiplantae; Streptophyta; Magnoliopsida; Poales; Poaceae.
CUUAAAUGGGUUGCUGAGCUCUUGAAUGUUGAUGGGUCAUGGAACGUUGCACUCAUCAGGCAGUACUUCCGCCCUGUUGAUGUCACUGAAAUCCUCAAGAUCAAACCAUCCCGGCGUCUGGAGGCUGACACUGUAGCCUGGCACCCAGAUAAGCAUGGUCGGUUCUCAGUGCGCUCUGCAUAUAACAUGGCAAGGGAGGCGAUUAUGGCCAAGGACGGCAGCGGCGAAUCUAGUGCUAGGCCUAACGGCGCUAGACCUGGCUGGAAGAUGCUAUGGAACUGUGGAGCACCACCCAAGGUAUGUGUUUUCGCCUGGAAAGCUGCUCGAGAAGCGCUAGCAACCCGUGUGAACAAACGACGACGGCACUUGGAGCUGGAGGGAACUUGUGUGAUCUGUGGUCAGGAGGCCGAGACUACCCACCGUGCUCUGACCCGAUGCCCUCACGCCCGGAACCUUUGGUCUGCGAUGCGCAUGGUUUGGGAUCUACCGCCGGAUGAUGCUCUCCGCCGGGAUGAACCUGACUGGCUCUUGCUACUCUUACAACGCCUGAACGAGACUCAGCGCAUGCUCCUCCUCAUGUUACUUUGGCGAGUGUGGCAUGUCAGGAAUGAAAUUACGCAUGAUAAACCACUCGUACCCGUCGAAGCGUCCAAGAGGUUCCUGUGCAGCUAUGCAGACACGUUGCUAAUGAUCAAACAAAAUCCGCAUGGGGACAUAGUCAAGGGGAAGCAGACGUUGGUGCUAGCUGAACUCCCGAAACAAACCAUCCGUGCUCCUUCCCUCGCUACCUCUGCAAACUGGGUGGCCCCACCAGCUGGCUAUGUCAAGCUUAACAUUGACGGACGGAUCCUUUGUCGCAGCUGA